GACGAACGCUGGCGGCGUGCCUAAUACAUGCAAGUCGAGCGAACAGACGCGGCGCUUGCUCCUCUGACGUUAGCGGAGGACGGGUGAGUCACACGUGGAUCCCCUCCCUAUAAGACUGGGAUAACUUCGGGAAACCGGAGAUAAUACCGGAUAAUAUCUUGCAGCGCAUGGUUCAUUAGUGAAAGACGGUUUUGCUGUCACUUAUCGAUGGUUCCGAGCCGCAUUAGCUAGUUGGUAAGGUAACGGCUUACCAAGGCAACGAUGCGUAGCCGACGUGAGAGGGUGGUCGGCCACACUGGAGCGGAGACACGGUCCAGGCGCCUACGAGAGGCAGCAGUAGGGAAUCUGCCGCAAUGGGCGAAAGCCUUACGGAGCAACGCGGCGUGAGUGGUGAAGGUCUUCGGAUCGUAAAACUCUGUUAUGAGGGAAGAACAAAUGUGUAAGGAACUAAGCACGUCUUGACGGUACCUAGUCAGAAAGCCACGGCUAACUACGUG
This 497-nucleotide ribosomal RNA is filed under the name uncultured bacterium. RNAcentral describes it as "partial 16S ribosomal RNA". It matches the Rfam family "Bacterial small subunit ribosomal RNA", at positions 28 to 507 of the family's 1533-position model. The record is from RNAcentral.